RNAcentral lists this ribosomal RNA (484 nucleotides) under uncultured bacterium. Its description in RNAcentral is "partial 16S ribosomal RNA". It matches the Rfam family "Bacterial small subunit ribosomal RNA", at positions 30 to 507 of the family's 1533-position model. The record is from RNAcentral.
AUUGAACGCUGGCGGCAGGCCUAACACAUGCAAGUCGAGCGGAUGAAGGGAGCUUGCUCCUGGAUUCAGCGGCGGACGGGUGAGUAAUGCCUAGGAAUCUGCCUGGUAGUGGGGGAUAACGUCCGGAAACGGGCGCUAAUACCGCAUACGUCCUGAGGGAGAAAGUGGGGGAUCUUCGGACCUCACGCUAUCAGAUGAGCCUAGGUCGGAUUAGCUAGUUGGUGGGGUAAAGGCCUACCAAGGCGACGAUCCGUAACUGGUCUGAGAGGAUGAUCAGUCACACUGGAACUGAGACACGGUCCAGACUCCUACGGGAGGCAGCAGUGGGGAAUAUUGGACGAUGGGCGAAAGCCUGAUCCAGCCAUGCCGCGUGUGUGAAGAAGGUCUUCGGAUUGUAAAGCACUUUAAGUUGGGAGGAAGGGCAGUAAGUUAAUACCUUGCUGUUUUGACGUUACCAACAGAAUAAGCACCGGCUAACUUCAUG